This 498-nucleotide ribosomal RNA is filed under the name uncultured bacterium. RNAcentral describes it as "partial 16S ribosomal RNA". It matches the Rfam family "Bacterial small subunit ribosomal RNA", at positions 28 to 507 of the family's 1533-position model. The record is from RNAcentral.
GACGAACGCUGGCGGCGUGCCUAAUACAUGCAAGUCGAACGAGAGCGACCGGUGCUUGCACUGUUCAAUCUAGUGGCGAACGGGUGAGUAACACGUGGGUAACCUGCCCAUCAGAGGGGGAUAACAUCCGGAAACGGAUGCUAAAACCGCAUAGGUCUUCGAACCGCAUGGUUUGAAGAGGAAAAGAGGCGCAAGCUUCUGCUGAUGGAUGGACCCGCGGUGCAUUAGCUAGUUGGUGAGGUAACGGCUCACCAAGGCCGUGAUGCAUAGCCGACCUGAGAGGGUGAUCGGCCACAUUGGGACUGAGACACGGCCCAAACUCCUACGGGAGGCAGCAGUAGGGAAUCUUCCGCAAUGGACGCAAGUCUGACGGAGCAACGCCGCGUGAGUGAAGAAGGUGUUCGGAUCGUAAAACUCUGUUGUUAGAGAAGAACAAGUGCUAGAGUAACUGUUAGCGCCUUGACGGUAUCUAACCAGAAAGCCACGGCUAACUACGUG